RNAcentral lists this unclassified non-coding RNA (713 nucleotides) under Hevea brasiliensis (rubber tree). Lineage: Eukaryota; Viridiplantae; Streptophyta; Magnoliopsida; Malpighiales; Euphorbiaceae. The record is from RNAcentral.
CACAGUCCAAACUCACGAAACCUGUUUCAAAAGUUAAGAUAUGUUCAUGCAAUCUAUUUAUAAUGGAAGAAGGAUUAAUUCUCAAUAUUGUGUGAACACUUUGGCAAGAAGCUGGAUUUUAAAAUGAGAUAUUUUAGUCAUUCAUGGCAACAACACACAGACCGAUUUUUGAUUAGUGGGGUAAAACUGAAAAUAAUAAAGAAAUAAAUUAACUGAGAAAAUAUCAAGAGAUUAGUGACAGAGAUAUGUUGACUUCCCAUUCCAGAAAAGGAAGACUGAAUAAUUAAUAUCCACUUCCCAUUCCAGGUCAACAAGCACAUGCUUGAGUAUGUUGACUUCAUUCAGUGCAAAAUCCUGCUUCAGCAAGCAUCUAGCCAUCUAAGAAAAUCUAAGCUGAACCUCUCUAUGGAUCAAAAGAAACCAUGUAAAGUGUAGCUAGCAAGUAAUCCAUUAAGAAAUGUGAUUAGCAUCUCUAUUCGCAUACAAUUAAGGAAGUGUUUGUCAUACAAGAUUUAAGUUUCUGGAUAAAAGAAUGAAAAUUCAGGAUCUAGGUCUCUCAAAUUUGAGCGGCCCAUAACCAGCAACGUAAAGGAAAAUUAACCAAAGAACAUUCCUUUCACUUUCAUUCUUAUCAAUCACAUUAAAAGAUGAGGAAAGUUCUGCAGCCUCUAAUUCUUAAAACCAAUUCAGAUAUCAACAAUACAAAGACAUGA